RNAcentral lists this long non-coding RNA (1539 nucleotides) under Salmo salar (Atlantic salmon). RNAcentral describes it as "lncRNA (ENSSSAG00000082278.1, ENSSSAG00020065194.1, ENSSSAG00075020383.1)". Lineage: Eukaryota; Metazoa; Chordata; Actinopteri; Salmoniformes; Salmonidae. The record is from RNAcentral.
CAGUAGAGGGCUGUUCGAGAGCAUGCGCACAACCGCAGCAAGAGAACCUUAUUCCUCCUGUCACAACAUUGAGGGGCAAAACGACAGCCGUGUGGUCUCUGGCUUCUAAUAGAUCUGUGAAGACAUAGAAUGUGAUUGGAAUGGAAGCUCGGAGAAGGAGUCUCUGAUUGGCCGAAAGACUAGGCGGGUGCACAUACCAAACGCCGUGAAGAACUAUUGGAUAUCAGUGAGACGUCAGCUAACCAGCACUACGACCAGGAAUACGACUGUCCCAAAGCGGACCCUUUGCCUGCAUCUCCCAGGGCAUUUGAACUGAUUCCAGAGGCUGACCACAAAACAACGCCGUCGGAGGAGAGGGUGCCGGAGCGGUCUUCUAGUGAGGCUUCAGUUACACGCACACCACCCACCGCUUCCGAGUAUAUUACUCGCUAAUGUUCAAUCACUAGUUAACAAAGUUGACGGAAUUAGGGAAAGAGUUGCUUUACAAAGAGAUAUCCGGGAUUGUAACAUACUCUGUUUUUCACGGAGACAUGGCUAGCUGGGGACAUGCUGUUGGAGUCUGUACAGCCAACAGGAUUUUCAGUCCAUCGUGCCGACAGGAACAAACAUCUCUCUGGUAAGAAGAAGGGCGGGGGUGUAUGUUUCAUGAUUAACAACUCAUAGUGUAAUUGUAACAACAUGCAUGAACUCAAGUCCUUUUGUUCACCUGACCUAGAAUUCCUCACAAUCAAAUACCGACCGUAUUAUAUCCGCCUCGGUUAUCGUCACAGCCGUGUAUAUUCCCCCCGCAAGAUGCUACCAAGACGGCCAUCAAGGAACUUGAUUGGACUUUAUGCAAACUGGGAACCAUAUAUCCCGAGGCUGCAUUUAUUGUAGCUGGUAAUUUUAACAAAGCUAAUCUGAGAACAAGGCUACCUAAAUUCUAUCAGCAUAUUGAUUGCAGUACAUGAGCGAGUAGCACACUCGACUACUCUAACUUCCGUGAUGCAUACAAGGCCCUCCCCCGCCCUCCUUUUGGCAAAUCUGACCAUGACUCCAUCUAGUUGCUCCCCUCAUACAGGCAGAAACUAAAACGGGAAGCACCCGUGCUUAGGUCUACCCAAUGCUGGUCUGACCAAUUGGAUUCCACGCUUCAAGAUUGCUUCAAUCACGUGGACUGGGAUAUGUUCCGGGUAGCCUCAGACAAUAACAUUGACGUAUACGCUGACUUGGUGAGCAAGUUUUUAAGGAAGUGUAUAGGAGAUGUUGUACCCACUGUGACUAUUAAAACCUUCCCUAAUCAGAAACUGUGGAUUUAUGGCAGCAUUUGCACAAAACUGAAUGCACGUACCACCGCAUUUAAUCAUGGCAAUGUGACUGGAAACAUGACCGAAUACAAACAGUGUAGUUAUUCCCUCAGUAAGGCAAUCAAACUAGCAAAGCGUCAGUAUAGAGACAAAGUGGAGUCGCAAUUCAACGGCUCAAACACGAGACGUAUGUGGUAGGGUCUACAGACAAUCACGGAUUGCAAAAAGAAAACCAUCGACGUCUUGCUCCCAG